Molecule: ribosomal RNA, 836 nt
Filed under: Amphibacillus sp.
Lineage: Bacteria; Bacillati; Bacillota; Bacilli; Caryophanales; Bacillaceae
Description: bacterial SSU rRNA
Source: RNAcentral
GGAGUGACGUUUGSGGAUCGAGUUGCGGAUGGGUGAGUAACACGUGGGCAACCUGCCUAUAAGACUGGGAUAACUUACGGAAACGUGAGCUAAUACCGGAUGAAACCUYUURUCACCUGGUAAGAGGAUGAAAGAUGGCUUUUAGCUAUCACUUAUAGAUGGGCCCGCGGCGCAUUAGCUAGUUGGUGAGAUAAAAGCUCACCAAGGCAACGAUGCGUAGCCRACCUGAGAGGGUGAUCGGCCACACUGGGACUGAGACACGGCCCAGACUCCUACGGGAGGCAGCAGUAGGGAAUCUUCCGCAAUGGACGAAAGUCUGACGGAGCAACGCCGCGUGAACGAAGAAGGUUCUCGGAUCGUAAAGUUCUGUUGUUAGGGAAGAACACGUACCAUUCGAAUAGGGUGGUACCUUGACGGUACCUAACGAGAAAGCCCCGGCUAACUACGUGCCAGCAGCCGCGGUAAUACGUAGGGGGCAAGCGUUGUCCGGAAUUAUUGGGCGUAAAGCGCUCGCAGGCGGUUUUUUAAGUCUGAUGUGAAAUCUUGCGGCUCAACCGCAAGCGGUCAUUGGAAACUGGAGAACUUGAGGACAGAAGAGGAGAGUGGAAUUCCACGUGUAGCGGUGAAAUGCGUAGAGAUGUGGAGGAACACCAGUGGCGAAGGCGACUCUCUGGUCUGUAACUGACGCUGAGGAGCGAAAGCGUGGGUAGCGAACAGGAUUAGAUACCCUGGUAGUCCACGCCGUAACGAUGAGUGCUAGGUGUUAGGGGGUUUCCGCCCCCUUAGUGCUGGCGUUAACGCAUUAAGCACUCCGCCUGGGGAGUACGGCCGCAAGG